This 214-nucleotide ribosomal RNA is filed under the name uncultured bacterium. RNAcentral describes it as "partial 16S ribosomal RNA". It matches the Rfam family "Bacterial small subunit ribosomal RNA", at positions 335 to 539 of the family's 1533-position model. The record is from RNAcentral.
ACUCCUACGGGAGGCAGCAGUGGGGAAUAUUGGACAAUGGGGAACCGUAGCAUCCAGCCAAUGCCGCGCUGUGUGAAGAAGGCCUUUGGUUGUAAAGCACUUUAAGCGCAGGAGGAGGCUUACCUGGUUAAUACCUGGGAUAAGUGACGUUACUCGCAGAAUAAGCACCGGCUAACUCUGUGCCAGCAGCCGCGGUAAUACAGAGGGUGCAAGC